This is a long non-coding RNA of Amphimedon queenslandica, 405 nucleotides long. RefSeq lists it as uncharacterized. The record is from RefSeq and is a predicted model, not a curated record. NCBI's taxonomy places the organism in Eukaryota, Metazoa, Porifera, Demospongiae, Haplosclerida, Niphatidae. The transcript is spliced from 2 exons.
UACUAUGUACAUGUGUGUAGGUGAUGGAUAGAGUUAGAAAGCUCCUACCAGGAGUAGAGAUAAGAGAUUUUUAUACCUCUGUUAAAGAGAGGUUAGUAGAUGUCUCACACCAGCCCCACUCCUAUCAGCAGUCGUUUGGCAGGUCACAGCGACCACAUCUACCACCCUCCGGCAUUUCACCUUUCCAAUAUUUCCCUCGUCCAGCUGCAACUUCUCAUGCCCCACCUCUUAUCAUUAGACCCCCUCACUCUUAACUCCUCACUGGUUGAUUGUAGAGACUUGUAGAAAACAGCUAUACUUGUCUUUGUGUGUCUUUUUGCUUCCCUGCACUGAAUUUUUUAACCUCGGGAGUGUUCCAAAUCUCUUUUUUUGUCUAUUAGAAAGGAACUAUUUACUUGUACAUAA